AUUGAACGCUGGCGGCAUGCCUAACACAUGCAAGUCGAACGGCAGCAUGCUCUGUAGCAAUACAGAGUGAUGGCGAGUGGCGGACGGGUGAGUAACGCGUAGGAAUCUGCCCUAAAGUGGGGGAUAACUCAGCGAAAGCUGAGCUAAUACCGCAUAAUCUCUUCGGAGUAAAGCAGGGGAUCUUUUGACCUUGUGCUUUAGGAUGAGCCUGCGUAAGACUAGCUAGUUGGUAGGGUAAAAGCCUACCAAGGCUACGAUCUUUAGCUGGUCUGAGAGGACGACCGGCCACAUUGGGACUGAGACACGGCCCAAACGCCUACGGGAGGCAGCAGUGGGGAAUAUUGGACAAUGGGGGAAACCCUGAUCCAGCGAUGCCGCGUGUGUGAAGAAGGCCUGCGGGUUGUAAAGCACUUUCGGUGGGGAGGAAAAACUCAAGGCUAAUAUCCUUGAGAAUUGACGUUACCCGCAUAAGAAGCACCGGCUAACUCUGUGCCAGCAGCCGCGGUAA
RNAcentral lists this ribosomal RNA (508 nucleotides) under uncultured bacterium. Its description in RNAcentral is "partial 16S ribosomal RNA". It matches the Rfam family "Bacterial small subunit ribosomal RNA", at positions 30 to 523 of the family's 1533-position model. The record is from RNAcentral.